Molecule: ribosomal RNA, 1494 nt
Filed under: uncultured prokaryote
Description: partial 16S ribosomal RNA
Rfam family: Bacterial small subunit ribosomal RNA
Source: RNAcentral
AGAGUUUGAUCAUGGCUCAGAUUGAACGCUGGCGGCAGGCCUAACACAUGCAAGUCGAGCGAGAAAGCACUUCGGUGUGAGUAGAGCGGCGGACGGGUGAGUAACGCGUAGGAAUUUGCCCAGUAGUGGGGGACAACUUAGGGAAACUUAAGCUAAUACCGCAUACGCCCUAAGGGGGAAAGCAGGGGAUCUUCGGACCUUGCGCUAUUGGAUGAGCCUGCGUCGGAUUAGCUAGUUGGUGAGGUAAUGGCUCACCAAGGCGACGAUCCGUAGCUGGUCUGAGAGGAUGAUCAGCCACACUGGGACUGAGACACGGCCCAGACUCCUACGGGAGGCAGCAGUGGGGAAUAUUGCGCAAUGGGGGCAACCCUGACGCAGCCAUGCCGCGUGUGUGAAGAAGGCCCUAGGGUUGUAAAGCACUUUCAAUUGGGAAGAAAAGCUGUUGCUUAAUACGUAACAGCCCUGACAUUACCUUUAGAAGAAGCACCGGCUAACUCCGUGCCAGCAGCCGCGGUAAUACGGAGGGUGCGAGCGUUAAUCGGAAUUACUGGGCGUAAAGCGCGCGUAGGCGGUUUGUUAAGUCAGCUGUGAAAGCCCCGGGCUCAACCUGGGAACUGCAGUUGAUACUGGCCGACUAGAGUACGAGAGAGGGAGGUAGAAUUCCAUGUGUAGCGGUGAAAUGCGUAGAUAUAUGGAGGAAUACCAGUGGCGAAGGCGGCCUCCUGGCUCGAUACUGACGCUGAGGUGCGAAAGCGUGGGGAUCAAACAGGAUUAGAUACCCUGGUAGUCCACGCCGUAAACGAUGUCUACUAGCCGUUGGGAGACUUGAUUUCUUAGUGGCGCCAGCUAACGCAAUAAGUAGACCGCCUAGGGAGUUCGGUCGCAAGAUUAAAACUCAAAUGAAUUGACGGGGGCCCGCACAAGCCGUGGAGCAUGUGGUUUAAGUCUAUGCAACGCGAAGAACCUUACCAGGUCUUGACAUCCUGAAAACUUUCUAGAGAUAGAUUGGUGCCUUCGGGAAUUCAGUGACAGGUGCUGCAUGGCUGUCGUCAGCUCGUGUCGUGAGAUGUUGGGUUAAGUCCCGUAACGAGCGCAACCCUUGUCCUUAGUUGCUAGCAGGUAAUGCUGAGAACUCUAAGGAGACUGCCGGUGACAAACCGGAGGAAGGUGGGGACGACGUCAAGUCAUCAUGGCCCUUACGACCUGGGCUACACACGUGCUACAAUGGGCAGUACAAAGGGUCGCCAAGCCGCGAGGUGGAGCUAAUCCCAUAAAACUGUUCGUAGUCCGGAUUGGAGUCUGCAACUCGACUCCAUGAAGUCGGAAUCGCUAGUAAUCGUGAAUCAGAAUGUCACGGUGAAUACGUUCCCGGGCCUUGUACACACCGCCCGUCACACCAUGGGAGUGGGUUGCAAAAGAAGUGGGUAGACUAACCUUCGGGAGGUCGCUCACCACUUUGUGAUUCAUGACUGGGGUGAAGUCGUAACAAGGUAA